Molecule: transfer RNA, 73 nt
Filed under: Myotis davidii
Lineage: Eukaryota; Metazoa; Chordata; Mammalia; Chiroptera; Vespertilionidae
Rfam family: tRNA
About the family: Transfer RNA (tRNA) molecules are approximately 80 nucleotides in length. Their secondary structure includes four short double-helical elements and three loops (D, anti-codon, and T loops). Further hydrogen bonds mediate the characteristic L-shaped molecular structure. tRNAs have two regions of fundamental functional importance: the anti-codon, which is responsible for specific mRNA codon recognition, and the 3' end, to which the tRNAs corresponding amino acid is attached (by aminoacyl-tRNA synthetases). tRNAs cope with the degeneracy of the genetic code in two manners: having more than one tRNA (with a specific anti-codon) for a particular amino acid; and 'wobble' base-pairing, i.e. permitting non-standard base-pairing at the 3rd anti-codon position.
Source: Rfam by way of RNAcentral
GCCAGUUUGGCUCAGUGGAUAGAGCAUUGGUCUGCGAAGUGAAGGGUCCCGGGUUCAAUUCCGGUCAAUGGCA